RNAcentral lists this long non-coding RNA (5303 nucleotides) under Marmota monax (woodchuck). The stretch from base 1630 to 1702 matches the Rfam family "tRNA". The record is from RNAcentral. Lineage: Eukaryota; Metazoa; Chordata; Mammalia; Rodentia; Sciuridae.
AGAGUAGAUGUAUGGAAAUGUUUAUGUUACGCAUUUGACUUAAUAUAGGCAGUCUCUAAAUUAAGAUGGAUUAUGUCUAAAAGUUUGUUUUUAAGUUAGUGAAUUGUGGUUGGGAGUCAUUUUUUAAUAGAAACAUAAAAUCUAUUUGAUCCUAAUUGUAGCUUAAUUAAUAGGCUUGGAAGUUAAAAAAAGUUAAUGGUUGCAAAAAAUAGCCUAACCUUGUUUUCACCUCUGUUUACUCUUUUUUUUUGCUUUUCACACUUUUUAGUUCACAGCAGCAGGCUUCUGACCUGCUACCCUACUGAGAUGGUUCUGGCAAAGGUCGGGAAUAAUCUCCCAUUUCCAAAUCUAGUGAUCUCUUUCUUCCUGCUUAAUAAUCUUGUCACCUGAGCACUCCUUGGCACUUCCAUUUUCCACAGCUAUGAUGCCACAUUCUGUCUUUUAUGCACCUCCUUCUGUCUUCGUCCACGUUUCCUUGGCCACCUGUCUGCAUGCCUUGCCAGCCUGAGGAAGCCUUCAACACACUCCACCUCCUGGUAGAUUUAACUGCCUUUUUUUGUGCUCCACUGUCCUUUGUCAUAGCAGUUUAAAAACUGUGCCUUUAUUAUCAUUGUCUCCCUCCCUCUGCUAGAUGGUAGGUCUUUUUUUUUUUUUUCAUUCAUUUACUUAUACAUGGACACAAUACCUUUAUUUUAUUUAUUUUUAAUGUGAUGCUGAGGAUCAAACUCAGUGCCUCAUACGUGCUAGGCAAGCACUUUGCCACUGAGGUACAACCCUAGCCCUAGAUGAUAUUUCCCAAAUAUGGGAAAAAAUGUUCAGCAUCUCUAGUAAUUAGAGAAAUGCAAAUCAUCUCACGCCAGUCAGAAUGGCAGUUAUCAAGAAUACAGACAACAAUAAAUGUUGGCAAGAAUGUGGGGGAAAGGCACACACAUACAUUAUUGGUGGGACUGCAAAUUGGAAAGUAGUAUGGAGAUUCCUUGGAAAACUUGAAAUGGAAUCACCAUUUGACCCAGUUAUGCCUCUCCUUGGUCUAUACCCAAAGGACUUAAAAUCAGUAUACUGUAGUAAUGCAGCCACAUCAAUGUUUAUAGCAGCUCAGUUCACAAUAUGCCUAUAUAUUUUUGUACUCCAGAGCAGACUUAUUUUAAUCAUGCCUGGAAAAACAUAAACUAUAACAUUCUGGGAGUGAAACAAUAAAUUCUAUAGACUGAACAAAGAAAAGGCUAUAAAAAGCUUAGGAUGCAGCUUUCUUGUUCAAAUAGAUUCCCAUCUCUUCCCAGUGUCAUUUUUCUUCUAUCCUGCACUCUAUAGAACUAAAUUAAGACAAUGUCCUCUUAUGGGCCUAUUAAUCUCAGCAAGGAUCAUCUGAAACUGAGCAUGAGAUUACUUUAUUUUAUAUAAGAUAAAUUGAGUAAGGGGCUGCUACUUAAAGGUUGUCAAAUUCAAAAUCUGACUGCUACUUCUGCCAGUGCCUCAAAUCAAAUACAGGAUUGUGAAGCCCAUGGUCUUGGAUAGAGAGAAGGCUAGGGAGUCAUAGGUAUGAGGCUAGAAGGGCUUAACAGGAGUAUUCCUUAUAUGCUGAGUUUACUUUGCUGGUUCAAUAGUCCUUUAAAAAGUUUCUGGAGGACUGGGGAUAUAACUCAGUUGGUAGAGUGCUUGCCUUGCAUGCAUAAGACCCUGGGUUCAAUCCCCAACACCACCAAAACAAAACAAAACAAAAGUGUUUCUGGAGAUGUUAAGUGUUUACAUAUAACCUCCUAAGAUAAAAGUACAGAAUGUAGGAAUUGGUAGCAUACUGAUAUGGAAGCUAAAACAGAAGUGGACCCAUUCUCUUAUGUUCUUACCACCUAGAGACAAGAAGUGAAAAGCUGUAUCAUUCCUGAGCAUGAGGAAGGCAAGGAUUGGGGUUGUGGCUCAGUGGUAGAGUGCUUGCCUAGCACAUGUGAGGCCCUGGGUUCUAUUCUCAGCACCACAUAAAAAGAUAAAUAAAUAAAAUAUUGUGUCCCUCUACAGCGCAUAUACAUAUAUAUAUAUAUAUAUAUAAUUGAGGAAGGCACAAGAAGAGCCCUUUGUAUUUGAGUACAUACAGGUUCAAAAUGAAAGGUAGCAGCAACCACCUUUCAUUUCAGAGCAGCAACUCUGUCCAUUAGGAAAUUGUGGUCCAACAAAUGUCCAUCUCCAACCAAGAGAAUUACCCAUUCGUCUUUUAUUUAAGGAAACAGAGUGGAAUCUAAGAACUAAAGCAUUUCCUCCUAGUUUCUCUCUCAUAGUAGGAAGAGGACAAGAAGCUGCAGGCAUAUAUUAUCCAGUAAAACAAAGACAUCAGGUUAGGGUGUCUGAGCAGUUUUGAAGAUCUAGCUGCUUCAGCCAAAUCCAUUCUACUACCACUUGCAGUUUAGCACCCACUGAUGGCAUUAUCCAUUCCAGCUUAAAUAUGAUUCUAGGUCUUUUGGCUGCAGAGGAGGUUUUUUUCUUUUUUCUUUUUUCUUUAAAAAUGGCUACAGCUAUGCCUGAAACUUUCUGGUGAUUGGCAGCCCUGUGUUCGACCCAGCUGGGGAGUGUAGGCCUGGAGAAUGCACUUUCUACUUCCCUACUUCUUAGGCUGGCCACUUUCUGCGGGACUUAGUCUCUCCCUCAUACCAAUUCCUUAAACCAAGAUUGUGUUUGCUUGCCCUACUUGGGUAUGGGGGAUGGAUUAAAUGUUUCAAGAUCUAUUUACUUUUUUAGAAUUUCUGAAUUAAAUACUAGUUUGUAGCUAAUCCCUUAAAUAAGGAGAAAUCAUAUCUUAACUAUCUUAUAGGUCUGCAAAAUGGCACCAACAGUGAUGAUCUUGGCACAGAAACAAUUGCAAAACUAUUGGCUUUUUUUUUUUUUUUUUUUUUUUUUUUUUUUGUCGUGGUGCUGGGGAUUGAACCCAGGGCCUUAUGCAUGCGAGGCAAGCACUCUACCAGCUGAACUAUAUCCCCAGCCCAUUUAUGUGACCAGCAUUUAUGUGACCAGCAAGGAAUCUGUUUUUAAUGCUUCUGGAGGAACAGUCAAUAGCUGCCAUAUGCAUUCCAUAUUGUUGGAAUACUUACCACACACAUGCAUUAUUAUGAGAAUGUGCCAGAGGAAAUUUGUACUUUUGAGAGUCCAGAGAAGGCAAUUUAUUUUGGCAUUUGCAUCACCUAUCUCAUUUCAUUAUCUGCUUUAUUUUACAUAAUAAUAUAAUAAAUAUGAUUAAUUAUACCAAGUGAAUAAAGAUCAGUUAGCCAGAGACACGCCAGUGAUUGAGGCAACUUGGAAGAGCAACACUGCAGUACUGUGAUCUCAUUGGAUUUUGACCUUGUGGGAAUCUAGUUAAGUUCUGUAAAUAAAAAUCUAUCCUGUUCUUUUUUCAUAUUAUCAAUUACUUUUCUAUAAUUGUCAUUGGUUGAUUGCAUAGCAAAGCAAGGACUGAAGUAUCAGAUAUUUCAUCUUUGCUGAUGAAAGUAUGUAUUGCAUGAUCUUGUAACUUUUUUCCUUAAAAAUAUUGUGAAAUAACACAUACUAAAGUAUUCAACCGUGUAUGUAUGGUUUAAAGAUAAAAUGAUCACACAUGUAUCAACUUCCAGCUUAAGAACUAGCACAUUCUCAGCUACCUACUCAUUUGUCCUCCCUCCAUUCGCAUCACAUGAGGUGAAUGUUCUUCUGUUAUUUUUGGUUGAUAAUUCCCAUGUUUUUAUUUGUGGCUCUAUCAUCUAUGUAUGUAUUCCUAAUAAAAUGUUGUUUAGAUUUACCUGUUUUUGAGCUUGUAUGUAAAUGGAUUCAUGCUGUAUGUAUUCUUCUGUGACUUUUUUCUAGCAUUUUUUGAGACUUCCAUCUAUGUUUAUUGCAUGUAACUAUUUCAUGUUUUCACUGCUGUAUAGCCACAAUGACUAUUUCACAAUUUAUCUGCUCUUCUAUUUCUGGAGAUUUGGACUUUUUAUUAUUAUAGACAAUGCUGCUGUGAACAUUCUGCCCAAUUACAAUGUAAGUUCUGUGUGGCCUGGGGUCAUGUCUGUUUUGUUCUGUGCUGUUUUCUCAGUGUCUGGAACAAUGCCUGGUACAGGGUACAUGCUCAAUAAAUAUUUGAAGAAUGAAUAACUUCUUGUACCUGUCUCCUGUGCACAUGUGCAAGAAUUGCUUUAGGAUGGUUUUUUUCAAAGGGUGGUCCAGGGACCCCUAGGGUCCCUGAGACCCUUUCAGAGGGCCUCUGAGGACAAAGCUACUUUCAUGUAAUAUUAAUUAAUAAAUUAUUUGUCCUUUUCACUUUCAUUUCUCACCAGGUUAUCAAAAAUUUUCCAGAUGUUUGAUAAAAUCACUGCUUUGAUAGCUGAUCAAGUAUAUAUUUGUUUAUUUUGUGUUUUAAAAAGUCUUCAUUUAAACUUUUUAUGUGGCAAAUAUUGAUAGAUAGAACUCAUAUGAACAACAGCUUUUUGAGUUCCUUGAUAAUUUUUUUGUUUUCGUUUUUUUGGGUCAGGGGAUUGAACUCAAGGGCACUCGACCACUGAGCCACAUCCCCAGCCCUAUUUUGUAUUUUAUGUAGAGCUGGGGUCUCACUAAAUUGUGUAGUGCCUCACUUUGUGCUGAGGCUGGCUUUGAACUUGAGAUCCUCCUGCCUCAGCCACCCAAACCUUCUGGGAUUAUAGGCAAGCGCCACUGCGCCUGGGCUCCUUGAUGAUUUUUAAGAUUGUAAAGAGGCUUAAGACCAAACAUUGGAGAACUGCUGCUCUAACAGAGUCAGCUUAAUUCAGUCAUGCUGAGUGGCUUUCUAAAGUAUUUGUACUAGUUUCACUCCCAUGGCAAUGGUUCAGGUUUCCCAGGGCUUCACAGUUCAGCAAACACAUGGUCUUGAUUGUCUUUAGUGUUUGCUAAUUGGAUGGCUACAUGGUAUCCUACUGUGGGUUUACUUUGCAUUUCCCUAAUCACUAAUGAAAUUAACUUUUCAUAUUUAGGUCCUCUUCUGUGAAAUACUUAUUCCUGUUUUUUGCCCCUUUUUCUGUUAGGUUGUGGCUCUCCCCCACCCCACAUAGAUUCAUGAUUUUAUAUAUUUUGGGUCCCAGUUUCUUGUCAGUUAAAUGUAUUACACAUAUUUUCUCCCAAUUCACAUGUUUUCUUUCAUGGUUGCAUUGAAUUUAUUGAUCAACUUGGAGAAAAUUUACAUCUUUUCAAUGUGUCUUCCCAGUCAGAAACAGUCGUGUAUCUCUCCAUUUAUUAGGUCUUCUUUAAUGUCUCUCAAUAAACAACAAUGUUCUCCAUAAAGGCCUUUAUGUCUUGUCUUAGAUUUCUUUAUAGGAGUUUAU